AACCCAUGUUGGCGACAUCUUCUAAGUAGCUCUUUGAAUCUUUCCCAUGCUUCAUAUAAGGGCUCAUUCUCUUUCUGAGAAAAACAAGAGAUCUCUGCCUUCAACUC
This is a small nucleolar RNA of Gastrolobium bilobum, 107 nucleotides long. NCBI's taxonomy places the organism in Eukaryota, Viridiplantae, Streptophyta, Magnoliopsida, Fabales, Fabaceae. The record is from RefSeq and is a predicted model, not a curated record.